CGUCUUUCGAGACGAGUCGCAUACCGACCGAUAAUUUCCGUCCAUAUACCGUACAGUUAAUGGCAUCGUUUUCGUGUCUGGCGUUUGUGUACGAGUGUGUUUGUUCGUGUGUGUGUGUGUGUAUGUGUGUGUGUGGUGGCGAUGACGACGGACGACUAUAUACCACGAGGACGAUUAUAAUGUUUAAUACAAACAGAACAAGUUGUCACACAUUAUAAAUGAUUCCUUCGAAAAUGGUUGUGCUCCGCAUAGUUAACUUUUUGAAUAUCCACGCCGUGACGGAUUCCCUCUAAUUUCAACAGCAACGAGACUCAAGAGCUUGCUUGUUCUGAGUAAUAGAAUCUCUAAUCUACGUGUGACGUGUCGCCCAUCCGGAUACUGUACUAUAGUUGAA
This is a long non-coding RNA of Sipha flava (yellow sugarcane aphid), 394 nucleotides long. RefSeq lists it as uncharacterized. NCBI's taxonomy places the organism in Eukaryota, Metazoa, Arthropoda, Insecta, Hemiptera, Aphididae. The transcript has 3 exons. The record is from RefSeq and is a predicted model, not a curated record.